UACGUAGGGUGCAAGCGUUGUCCGGAUUUACUGGGCGUAAAGAGCGCGCAGGCGGUCGUUCAAGUCGAGUGUGAAAGCCCCCGGCUCAACUGGGGAGGGUCACUCGAUACUGAUCGACUUGAAGGCAGGAGAGGGAAGCGGAAUUCCCGGUGUAGUGGUGAAAUGCGUAGAUAUCGGGAGGAACACCAGUGGCGAAGGCGGCUUCCUGGCCUGUUCUUGACGCUGAGGCGCGAAAGCUAGGGGAGCAAACGGG
RNAcentral lists this ribosomal RNA (253 nucleotides) under uncultured bacterium. RNAcentral describes it as "partial 16S ribosomal RNA". It matches the Rfam family "Bacterial small subunit ribosomal RNA", at positions 524 to 776 of the family's 1533-position model. The record is from RNAcentral.